RNAcentral lists this ribosomal RNA (305 nucleotides) under uncultured bacterium. Its description in RNAcentral is "bacterial SSU rRNA". It matches the Rfam family "Bacterial small subunit ribosomal RNA", at positions 334 to 655 of the family's 1533-position model. The record is from RNAcentral.
UUGUCCUACGGGGGGCAGCAGUGGGGGAUAUUGCACAAUGGAGGAAACUCUGACGCAGUGACGCCGCGUGCAGGAAGAAGGUUUUCGGAUUGUAAACUGCUUUAGACAGGGAAGAAACAAGACAGUACCUGUAGAAUAAGCUCCGGCUAACUACGUGCCAGCAGCCGCGGUAAUACGUAGGGAGCAAGCGUUAUCCGGAUUUAUUGGGUGUAAAGGGUGCGUAGACGGGAAAACAAGUUAGUUGUGAAAUCCCUCGGCUUAACUGAGGAACUGCAACUAAAACUAUUUUUCUUGAGAGUUGGAGG